RNAcentral lists this ribosomal RNA (776 nucleotides) under uncultured Neocallimastigales. Its description in RNAcentral is "partial large subunit ribosomal RNA". It matches the Rfam family "Eukaryotic large subunit ribosomal RNA", at positions 22 to 635 of the family's 3401-position model. The record is from RNAcentral. Lineage: Eukaryota; Fungi; Neocallimastigomycota; Neocallimastigomycetes; Neocallimastigales.
GUACACGCUGUGACUAGCAUAUCAACUAAGCGGAGGAAAAGAAACUAACAAGGAUUCCCCUAGUAACGGCGAGUGAAGCGGGAAGAGCUCAAAUUUGAAAUCUUAAAGGUUUCCCUUUACGAAUUGUAGUUUAAAGAAGUGUUUUCUGUUGAGGUUUUGGUAAAAGUUCUUUGGAAUAGGACAUCAUAGAGGGUGAGAAUCCCGUAUUUGACCUUUACUUUCAACUUUGUGAUACACUUUCAAAGAGUCGGAUUGUUUGGGAAUGCAGUCCCAAAGUGGGUGGUAAAUUUCAUCUAAAGCUAAAUAUUGGCGAGAGACCGAUAGCGAACAAGUACCGUGAGGGAAAGAUGAAAAGAACUUUGAAAAGAGAGUUAAACAGUACGUGAAAUUGUCCAAAAGGGAAGCGUUUGACACCAGUGUUGUUUUUCUGAAAAUCAAUUAAAGAACUGUUUAUGCUAAGCUGUUUAGACUUUAUCAGCUAUCUGUUUAGUUUUGAGCUUUUCUUUAAUGCACUUUUCAGUUAACAAGUCAACAUCAAUUUCUUUUGCUGUAAAAAAGCUUGAGGAAGGUGGCUUGAGAUUCGUCUUAAGUGUUUAUAGCCUCUUGCCUAUGCAGUCGGAGAGAUUGAGGUCUGCAGCGUAGAUCCUUCGGGGCUAAAUGCAUUUGUGCUAAGUUAUAGCAUUUUAUAGACAACUUGUUGACUAUGAUUUGUCUUGUAGCUUACUCGCUUAUGUUAUUUUACCUACGCUUAGGAUGUUGAAGAUGUAGCACAUCAU